GUCGGGAAUAUUGCACAAUGGGGGAAACCCUGAUGCAGCGACGCCGCAUAAAGGAAGAAGGUCUUCGGAUUGUAAACUUUUGUCGACAGGGAAGAAAAAAGACAGUACCUGUGGAGGAAGCCCCGGCUAACUACGUGCCAGCAGCCGCGGUAAUACGUAGGGGGCAAGCGUUGUCCGGAAUGAUUGGGCGUAAAGGGCGCGUAGGCGGCCCGGUAAGUCUGAAGUGAAAGUCCUGCUUUUAAGGUGGGAAUUGCUUUGGAUACUGUCGGGCUUGAGUGCAGGAGAGGUAAGCGGAAUUCCCGGUGUAGCGGUGAAAUGCGUAGAGAUCGGGAGGAACACCAGUGGCGAAGGCGGCUUACUGGACUGUAACUGACGCUGAGGCGCGAAAGUGUGGGGAGCAAACAGGAUUAGAUACCCUUGUAGUCC
This 426-nucleotide ribosomal RNA is filed under the name uncultured bacterium. Its description in RNAcentral is "partial 16S ribosomal RNA". It matches the Rfam family "Bacterial small subunit ribosomal RNA", at positions 354 to 796 of the family's 1533-position model. The record is from RNAcentral.